UACAGAGGUCCCAAGCGUUGUUCGGAUCCACUGGGCGUAAAGGGUGCGUAGGUGGCGGGGUAAGUCUGAUAUGAAAUCUCCGAGCUUAACUCGGAAACUGCAUCGGAUACUGCCUUGCUCGAGGGUUGGAGGGGGGACUGGAAUACUUGGUGUAGCAGUGAAAUGCGUAGAUAUCAAGUGGAACACCAGUGGCGAAGGCGAGUCCCUGGACAACUCCUGACACUGAGGCACGAAAGCUAGGGGAGCAAACAGG
RNAcentral lists this ribosomal RNA (253 nucleotides) under uncultured bacterium. RNAcentral describes it as "partial 16S ribosomal RNA". It matches the Rfam family "Bacterial small subunit ribosomal RNA", at positions 524 to 776 of the family's 1533-position model. The record is from RNAcentral.